CCCAGAAGCCAGAACAGCAAGAGGGAUUGCUGCUUUCACUGUAUAGCAAUCCCUCUUGCUGUUCUGGCUUCGGA
This 74-nucleotide microRNA precursor is filed under the name Podarcis lilfordi (Lilford's wall lizard). The record is from RNAcentral. Lineage: Eukaryota; Metazoa; Chordata; Lepidosauria; Squamata; Lacertidae.